CCGCCGAGUGUCGCACCAUCCCGCGCCCCCCGAAGCCCCACCCGUACGACCCCGCCGUCGCGCUCGUCGCCAGCCCGGUCGACCCCGCCCGUUUCCACCUCGUCUGCGCCCUCGACGCCCCCGGCGGCGGCUACCGCUUCGAGAUCUUCUCUUCCGUCUCGGGCGCCUGGCGGCAGGCGUCCGCCGUGGCCGCUUCCGCAGAUCCCAUCGUCCCCGGCUCCGGUGUCUCAGCUGCCGGAGCGGCGUACUGGCGGACGUCCACCCCCGCGGUUCUCGCCUACGAC
Molecule: long non-coding RNA, 284 nt
Filed under: Musa acuminata (dwarf banana)
Lineage: Eukaryota; Viridiplantae; Streptophyta; Magnoliopsida; Zingiberales; Musaceae
Description: long non-coding RNA (MACU_LNC004248)
Source: RNAcentral